Molecule: ribosomal RNA, 247 nt
Filed under: uncultured bacterium
Lineage: Bacteria
Description: partial 16S ribosomal RNA
Rfam family: Bacterial small subunit ribosomal RNA
Source: RNAcentral
AUACGAAGGGGGCUAGCGUUGUCCGGAAUUACUGGGCGUAAAGGGUGCGUAGGCGGCAUGUUAAGUUGGAUGUGAAAUACCCGGGCUCAACCUCGGAACUGCCUUUGAUACUGGGUGUCUAGAGUGUGGAAGAGGUAAGUGGAAUUCCGAGUGUAGAGGUGAAAUUCGUAGAUAUUCGGAGGAACACCAGUGGCGAAGGCGGCUUACUGGUCCAUUACUGACGCUGAGGUGCGAAAGCGUGGGGAGC